GACGAACGCUGGCGGCGUGCUUAACACAUGCAAGUCGAACGGAAAGGCCCUGCUUUUGUGGGGUGCUCGAGUGGCGAACGGGUGAGUAACACGUGAGUAACCUGCCCUUGACUUUGGGAUAACUUCAGGAAACUGGGGCUAAUACCGGAUAGGAGCUCCUGCUGCAUGGUGGGGGUUGGAAAGUUUCGGCGGUUGGGGAUGGACUCGCGGCUUAUCAGCUUGUUGGUUGGGUAGUGGCUUACCAAGGCUUUGACGGGUAGCCGGCCUGAGAGGGUGACCGGCCACAUUGGGACUGAGAUACGGCCCAGACUCCUACGGGAGGCAGCAGUGGGGAAUAGUGCACAAUGGGCGGAAGCCUGAUGCAGCAACGCCGCGUGCGGGAUGACGGCCUUCGGGUUGUAAACCGCUUUCGCCUGUGACGAAGCGUGAGUGACGGUAAUGUGUAAAGAAGCACCGGCUAACUACGUG
Molecule: ribosomal RNA, 468 nt
Filed under: uncultured bacterium
Lineage: Bacteria
Description: partial 16S ribosomal RNA
Rfam family: Bacterial small subunit ribosomal RNA
Source: RNAcentral